RNAcentral lists this ribosomal RNA (377 nucleotides) under uncultured organism. RNAcentral describes it as "partial 16S ribosomal RNA". It matches the Rfam family "Bacterial small subunit ribosomal RNA", at positions 527 to 897 of the family's 1533-position model. The record is from RNAcentral.
GUAGGUGGCAAGCGUUGUCCGGAAUUAUUGGGGCGUAAAGCGCGCGCAGGCGGGUUCUUUAAGUCUGAUGUGAAGGCCCACGGGCUCAACCGUGGGAGGGUCAUUGGAAACUGGAGAACUUGAGUACAGAAGAGGAGAGCGGAAUUCCACGUGUAGCGGUGAAAUGCGUAGAGAUGUGGAGGAACACCAGUGGCGAAGGCGGCUUUCUGGUCUGUAACUGACGCUGAGGCGCGAAAGCGUGGGGAGCAAACAGGAUUAGAUACCCUGGUAGUCCACGCCGUAAACGAUGAGUGCUAAGUGUUAGGGGGUUUCCGCCCCUUAGUGCUGCAGCCAACGCAUUAAGCACUCCGCCUGGGGAGUACGGCCGCAAAGGCUGA